This 639-nucleotide long non-coding RNA is filed under the name Chrysemys picta bellii (western painted turtle). Its description in RNAcentral is "lncRNA (ENSCPBG00000022749.1)". The record is from RNAcentral. Lineage: Eukaryota; Metazoa; Chordata; Testudines; Emydidae.
CCCGGCUGCUGGUGGUUGUGUGGUGUGGGGAAGAGAGAAGCGAGAGAAACCAGCUGGCGAGGGGUUAAUCGGUUCCAUUGCAAUUGUGUCAUCUCUUUGGGGACCUCUCGCUCAUUUUGUGAGCAACCGCUGAAAGACGAGGCACGGGGGCUCUUUCUUAUUCAGCUGCACGCAGCUUCAGAAGCACCGGACAGCAGCACAGCUGUGCUCAGCCGGCUUGGCCUUGCAGAUGGAUGGAGAAAAGGAUUUGAUAAAAUGGAGAAGAGAAACCUGCCUGUACUCCUGAAUCUGGAGAGUAAACUUUGCCCACAGAAGUUGGGAUAAGGAGGAUGACCACAGGCUGCUAGUCUCAGGUAUCAGUGGAGGUAAGUGAGUACUCCAGCGUGUCAAUGUGGCUCUUUAAGAAACUAAUGCUGUCUCAGACUUUUGAUUCCCCUGCUUGGAAGAAAUAUGGAAGUGAGCAUUAUGGUGGAUGAGUUGAGGGAUGAUCCAUAGUGGAUCAGGCAGUGAUUCUAUCACUACCCCUAUUAUUUCUAGAUGCUAAGUACUUUGCAGCACAUAACCGGUCAGACCAUCAGCUGGUGUCCAAUUGGCAGAGGUCCCCUGAUUUCAAUGGCCAUUUUACACCAGCUGAGGAUC